This 1225-nucleotide ribosomal RNA is filed under the name Klebsiella pneumoniae. RNAcentral describes it as "partial 23S ribosomal RNA". It matches the Rfam family "Bacterial large subunit ribosomal RNA", at positions 1638 to 2839 of the family's 2925-position model. Lineage: Bacteria; Pseudomonadati; Pseudomonadota; Gammaproteobacteria; Enterobacterales; Enterobacteriaceae. The record is from RNAcentral.
CAAAUCGUACCCCAAACCGACACAGGUGGUCAGGUAGAGAAUACCAAGGCGCUUGAGAGAACUCGGGUGAAGGAACUAGGCAAAAUGGUGCCGUAACUUCGGGAGAAGGCACGCUGGUGUGUAGGUGAAGUCCCUGCGGAUGGAGCUGAGACCAGUCGAAGAUACCAGCUGGCUGCAACUGUUUAUUAAAAACACAGCACUGUGCAAACACGAAAGUGGACGUAUACGGUGUGACGCCUGCCCGGUGCCGGAAGGUUAAUUGAUGGGGUUAUCCGUAAGGAGAAGCUCUUGAUCGAAGCCCCGGUAAACGGCGGCCGUAACUAUAACGGUCCUAAGGUAGCGAAAUUCCUUGUCGGGUAAGUUCCGACCUGCACGAAUGGCGUAAUGAUGGCCAGGCUGUCUCCACCCGAGACUCAGUGAAAUUGAACUCGCUGUGAAGAUGCAGUGUACCCGCGGCAAGACGGAAAGACCCCGUGAACCUUUACUAUAGCUUGACACUGAACAUUGAGCCUUGAUGUGUAGGAUAGGUGGGAGGCUUUGAAGCGUGGACGCCAGUCUGCGUGGAGCCAACCUUGAAAUACCACCCUUUAAUGUUUGAUGUUCUAACGUUGGCCCCUUACCGGGGUUGCGGACAGUGUCUGGUGGGUAGUUUGACUGGGGCGGUCUCCUCCCAAAGCGUAACGGAGGAGCACGAAGGUUAGCUAAUCCUGGUCGGACAUCAGGAGGUUAGUGCAAUGGCAUAAGCUAGCUUGACUGCGAGCGUGACGGCGCGAGCAGGUGCGAAAGCAGGUCAUAGUGAUCCGGUGGUUCUGAAUGGAAGGGCCAUCGCUCAACGGAUAAAAGGUACUCCGGGGAUAACAGGCUGAUACCGCCCAAGAGUUCAUAUCGACGGCGGUGUUUGGCACCUCGAUGUCGGCUCAUCACAUCCUGGGGCUGAAGUAGGUCCCAAGGGUAUGGCUGUUCGCCAUUUAAAGUGGUACGCGAGCUGGGUUUAGAACGUCGUGAGACAGUUCGGUCCCUAUCUGCCGUGGGCGCUGGAGAAUUGAGGGGGGCUGCUCCUAGUACGAGAGGACCGGAGUGGACGCAUCACUGGUGUUCGGGUUGUCAUGCCAAUGGCACUGCCCGGUAGCUAAAUGCGGAAGAGAUAAGUGCUGAAAGCAUCUAAGCACGAAACUUGCCCCGAGAUGAGUUCUCCCUGAGACUUUAAGUCUCCUGAAGGAACGUU